Salvator merianae (Argentine black and white tegu) is the source of this 372-nucleotide long non-coding RNA. Lineage: Eukaryota; Metazoa; Chordata; Lepidosauria; Squamata; Teiidae. The record is from Ensembl.
GCUUCUCUAGGCACUUCCUGUCCCUGAUGUAAACCAAGCAGCAGAGAAUGGGAACACACCACUUCAUGCUGCAGUAAACACUGGGAAAAUCCACCUUGUCUCCCUCCUUUUGCAUUACCCUGGAAUUAACGUGAAUGUCCAAAACCCCCAGUGUGAUGGUGCAACUCCACUACAUCUUGCUAUUGCUUACGGGCAUCUGGCAAUUUCCUACUUGCUGCUGACUGCUGCAGCUGAUGUAGAAAGUCCCCUAGGUGAGAUGACACCUUUGCAACUUGCUGAAAUGUUUGGUAACGAAAGCAUAACCAGGCUUAUUGAAAAGUAUGUAAGGAAAUGUAGACUUGAAAAUAAAAUGCUUGUCUGAUCAGCUUGUUG